UUAUGUUUGUUUUGGUUGUUGGGGUUAUUAGAUAGGUUUGGACCCCUGUGAACAUAUACUUGAGUAUAUGUGUGUGGAAUAGUUGAAGUAUGCAUGUUUGGAGAAGUUGAAGGGAAGGAGGAGCUUGUUUUGCCGUCGAGCUGAGUUCUAGAUGAACUCAGGUUCGGCAGCCGAGGGUUCAUUCGGCCGCCGAACCUCUUGCAUGGUGGCUUGGUUGCCACAGCUUGCCCCCGAGUGUUUUUGCAUGUUCGGCUCUGUUUGGGGGAUUCGGCCGCCGAAGGUGCUUGAGUUUCGUCUCUGGAGAGGACAUUCGGCCGCCGAACCUGCCGCCGA
Molecule: long non-coding RNA, 333 nt
Filed under: Manihot esculenta (cassava)
Lineage: Eukaryota; Viridiplantae; Streptophyta; Magnoliopsida; Malpighiales; Euphorbiaceae
Description: long non-coding RNA (MESC_LNC011264)
Source: RNAcentral